UUCUCUCCCUUGCCCUGCACAGACCAGUGCUGCCCACACCCUGGCCACAGAGGGAUCUCUGCUUUGACCCCAGGGAGAAUGUCAAUGAGCCGCAUGUUCUCCCUCUUCCCACAUAGGAAAGAGCAAACCAUUUUGCGAAGCGGAGAGGUCCUUAUGCAAAUGUUAACUUCUCACUGAAGACUUCCCUGCACACCACUAACCCCAGCCAUGAACAUCACCUCCUACCUUCCAUGCUGUUUUCGCCAUAGCAGAGCUGAGACCAUGUCAGAUCCAAUGUGUAUCUAAUGCAUGCAUCUGGCUCAAGGAUGAACACACGGUCGGUGCUCCUUGGAUUGAAUUAACAAAAUAUGCAUAUGAGGACGUGAAAGCUGUGCUGAAGUAGAGAAAUGAUGGGUUGUCCUGCUGCAGUAAUGAGCAGCAGCGUUUACUUGUGCCAUUUCUUUUUUACUUCUGCAUUAAGUAGCAUCGGUGAGCCAGUUACUCUGAAGCAAUCUGUGUGUGCAGUAAUUGACAGGUGCCCAAUUAACAACUGAUCUGUGGAGUUCUUGGGUGCAGAGAACUAUGGAUCUGACUCAAUCCUGAAGGCCCCAGGUUUUACCAACUUGUGGGCACAGAAGAGACCACAUUAACAUUAAUAUAGGGUGGAUA
Molecule: long non-coding RNA, 648 nt
Organism: Myotis myotis
Lineage: Eukaryota; Metazoa; Chordata; Mammalia; Chiroptera; Vespertilionidae
Exons: 3
Source: RefSeq, a predicted model, not a curated record